Mirounga angustirostris (Northern elephant seal) is the source of this 814-nucleotide long non-coding RNA. RefSeq lists it as uncharacterized. The record is from RefSeq and is a predicted model, not a curated record. Lineage: Eukaryota; Metazoa; Chordata; Mammalia; Carnivora; Phocidae. The transcript is spliced from 3 exons.
UGAACAAUAGGCACUUGCUGGAGAGGUGGCUGGGUACGAAGUCUGGGGGCACCGCGGGUCUGCAGGGGGUUCCUGUGAUGGCGUCUCCUGGGGGCCUGGGCAUCAAGAUAUGUGGCCUGGAAAAGUGGCCUCCAUUCCUCCAAACUUCUUCGAUGGCCAUAAAUAACACCCAGGAGCAAAGUGGUUGUGUCCGUUCUUUCCAAUUCCAGACCUUUCUAAUCUCCAGCUCUGUCCGGAGCCAGAGACCCAGGCUACACACUGCUACAGGGGAGCAGCCUGUCUGCUUGCCUGGGCCAUGAGGAUCACCGCUGUGUUCAGGUGGAUGGCUGCAACCACACCAUAUCUCAGCACACAGUAUACAUCUUCAUUUUUAUCACACUCCUCGGGAACUCAGGACCCAAGACGUACUUUGUGCGUGAGGAAGUCUGGUGUAGCCCCUCUGACGUCUGUGCCUCGUGCUCUGCUCCGCAGUGAUCAGCUAAGGCGCUGCAGCGCCCCGAAGCCUGCAGUAAUGUGCGUGCGGCGCCGGGCGAGCAAGUCCUCAGCCUUCCCACGGCUCGCGCGGGAAGGGCUGGAUGUAGUUCAGUUUUACUAAUUGCAAGGAAAGGCUAGGAGGAGAAGAAAAAAAAAAAAAAGCCAUGGAAACAUUAAAGGAUUUGGGGAUUGUUUUUAAAAAAUGCUUUUUCCCCCGCAUGACAGGUUGACACAGUCAAGCCAGAGAGGGAUUUCAGGGCUGAAGACGUUUUUUGCUCCAUGGAGAGUCACAUUGAGCUCUGGGGAACUGUGUCCGUGUUUCUUCACUAGAAGACGUAAA